GUGAAUCAUCGAAUCUUUGAACGCAAAUUGCACUCCCUGGUAUUCCGGGGAGUAUGCCUGUUUGAGGGUCGUUAGAACAAAAAUCGAUGCGGCGCUCUUUUUUUUAUGGGUGAUCGCGUCGUAAUGGAGCCGUCUUUCAGUUGUUAAUUCAUGUCAAAGUGUCUUAAAAUUCAUCCAUCCAGUACGCUUAAAAC
This 194-nucleotide unclassified non-coding RNA is filed under the name Glomeraceae sp. RNAcentral's name for it is "partial contains 5.8S ribosomal RNA and internal transcribed spacer 2". The stretch from base 1 to 71 matches the Rfam family "5.8S ribosomal RNA", at positions 84 to 154 of the family's 154-position model. The record is from RNAcentral. Lineage: Eukaryota; Fungi; Glomeromycota; Glomeromycetes; Glomerales; Glomeraceae.